CAAGUGGUAGGAGAGCGUUCUAUUUGCGUCGAAGGUAUACCGGUAAGGAGUGCUGGAGCGAAUAGAAGUGAGCAUGCAGGCAUGAGUAGCGAUAAUUAAUGUGAGAAUCAUUAACGCCGUAAACCCAAGGUUUCCUACGCGAUGCUCGUCAUCGUAGGGUUAGUCGGGUCCUAAGUCGAGUCCGAAAGGGGUAGACGAUGGCAAAUUGGUUAAUAUUCCAAUACCAACAUUAGUGUGCGAUGGAAGGACGCUUAGGGCUAAGGGGGCUAGCGGAUGGAAGUGCUAGUCUAAGGUCGUAGGAGGUUAUACAGGCAAAUCCGUAUAACAAUACUCCGAGAACUGAAAGGCUUUUUGAAGUCUUCGGAUGGAUAGAAGAACCCCUGAUGCCGUCGAGCCAAGAAAAGUUUCUAAGUUUAGCUAAUGUUGCCCGUACCGUAAACCGACACAGGUGGGUGGGAUGAGUAUUCUAAGGCGCGUGGAAGAACUCUCUUUAAGGAACUCUGCAAAAUAGCACCGUAUCUUCGGUAUAAGGUGUGGUUAGCUUCGUACUAGGAUUUACUCCGAAAGCGAAGAAACUUACAACAAAGAGUCCCUCCCGACUGUUUACCAAAAACACAGCACUCUGCUAACUCGUAAGAGGAUGUAUAGGGUGUGACGCCUGCCCGGUGCUCGAAGGUUAAUUGAUGGGGUUAGCAUUAGCGAAGCUCUUGAUCGAAGCCCGAGUAAACGGCGGCCGUAACUAUAACGGUCCUAAGGUAGCGAAAUUCCUUGUCGGUUAAAUACCGACCUGCAUGAAUGGCGUAACGAGAUGGGAGCUGUCUCAAAGAGGGAUCCAGUGAAAUUGUAGUGGAGGUGAAAAUUCCUCCUACCCGCGGCAAGACGGAGAGACCCCGUGGACCUUUACUACAGCUUGACACUGCUAUUUGGAUAAGAAUGUGCAGGAUAGGUGGGAGGCUUUGAGUAUAUGACGCCAGUUGUAUAUGAGCCAUUGUUGAGAUACCACUCUUUCUUAUUUGGGUAGCUAACCAGCUUGAGUUAUCCUCAAGUGGGACAAUGUCUGGUGGGUAGUUUGACUGGGGCGGUCGCCUCCCAAAUAAUAACGGAGGCUUACAAAGGUUGGCUCAGAACGGUUGGAAAUCGUUCGUAGAGUAUAAAGGUAUAAGCCAGCUUAACUGCAAGACAUACAAGUCAAGCAGAGACGAAAGUCGGUCUUAGUGAUCCGGUGGUUCUGUGUGGAAGGGCCAUCGCUCAAAGGAUAAAAGGUACCCCGGGGAUAACAGGCUGAUCUCCCCCAAGAGCUCACAUCGACGGGGAGGUUUGGCACCUCGAUGUCGGCUCAUCGCAUCCUGGGGCUGGAGCAGGUCCCAAGGGUAUGGCUGUUCGCCAUUUAAAGCGGUACGCGAGCUGGGUUCAGAACGUCGUGAGACAGUUCGGUCCCUAUCUGCCGUGGGCGUAAGAAGAUUGAAGAGAUUUGACCCUAGUACGAGAGGACCGGGUUGAACAAACCACUGGUGUAGCUGUUGUUCUGCCAAGAGCAUCGCAGCGUAGCUAAGUUUGGAAAGGAUAAACGCUGAAAGCAUCUAAGCGUGAAGCCAACUCUAAGAUGAAUCUUCUCUAAGCUCUCUAGAAGACUACUAGUUUGAUAGGCUGGGUGUGUAAUGGAUGAAAGUCCUUUAGCUGACCAGUACUAAUAGAGCGUUUGGCUUAUCUUUAAUAAAGCAU
RNAcentral lists this ribosomal RNA (1722 nucleotides) under Listeria monocytogenes. Its description in RNAcentral is "bacterial LSU rRNA". It matches the Rfam family "Bacterial large subunit ribosomal RNA", at positions 1222 to 2925 of the family's 2925-position model. Lineage: Bacteria; Bacillati; Bacillota; Bacilli; Caryophanales; Listeriaceae. The record is from RNAcentral.